Long non-coding RNA from Chenopodium quinoa (quinoa), 2137 nucleotides. RefSeq lists it as uncharacterized. NCBI's taxonomy places the organism in Eukaryota, Viridiplantae, Streptophyta, Magnoliopsida, Caryophyllales, Amaranthaceae. The transcript is spliced from 2 exons. The record is from RefSeq and is a predicted model, not a curated record.
UUUGGUUUGAUUUUGAUUUCUCGUUAAUUUUUUUCGAAUGUUUAGAGUUUGAAUUUUUAGAGUCUUGAAUUUUUUUUCGAAUUUCAUUUGAUUUCGUCAAUUUUUGGUUUGCAUUUUUAGAGUCAGAAUUUCGUGAACUGUGGGGUUUUUUAGUCUGAAAUUUGUGGGAUUUUUACGGUCUAAUUUGUGUAUUUUGUUGGUGGUGGUGGUGGUAAGUGGCGGUGGUGGUGUGAAUUUUCAUGGGUAGAGGUUUUAUGGGGAGGCUUUUGUGGUGGGCAGGUGGCAAUUCGUGGUGGUUGGGUGAGAUUUAUAGGAGUGAAGGUGGUGUGUUCGGGGUGGCUGGUGGUGUUGUAAGGUGGGUAGUGGUGGUGGGGUUGGCUGUGAAGUAUAGGUAAGGUAAUAUUUUUUGUUUUUUAUUUUAAUUUUAGCGACGACCAUAAGCGGUCACUAAAAUCAAGAUUUGCAACCGCCGCUUAAAACGAUCGCAAUAAUAAAAUCUGCGCCCGUUUUCCAAAUGAUCAUUGAAAAUAUUAAAAACGGUCGCAAAAAAUCUGCGACUGUCAGUCGGUCGUGAUUAUGUUUUUUUGCCGACCGUUGACGGUCGCAAUUAAUUUUGACGACCGUUUUUACUAUUUUCAACAACCGUCAGAGACGGUCGCGAUUUGGCCUAAUUUUAGUACUGAGUUUUUUGUUUUCUUUUGUUGUUUUAAUCUGCUUUGUUUCAAUCUUUAUGGCAAGUUUUGAGGAACUAAGGGGUAUGUUGUGUAUUUCACAUGUUGAAGAGAAUGAUGUCUCUUCCCAUGAGUUAGAGUUUUCAGUUGGGCAGUUGGAGGAACCUUUUGGGAUUCUCAAUUUUGUUAAGAGAUUAAAAGAUGAGGGAAACAUGUUCUACAAGCAAAAUCAAAUGGGGUCUGCUAUUGCAAAAUACUCUAUUGCUCUUAAAAUGUUGUCCUUUGCUUCAGUCUGUAAUGAAGAGGAAAAAUUGAUGUUUUCGGGGGCACUGAUGUGUCCCUUAAUCUAAACUUGGGUGCUUGCUUCAUCAAGGUAAAAGACUAUGAUAGAGUGGGUCAAUUAUGUUCAGCGGUUUUGUGUUUUGAUACUACUAAUGUGAAAGCUUACUAUAGAAGGGCGAUUGCUGCAUUAGGGCUCAAUAAACAAACCUUAGCUUUCAUGGACCUUGCACAAGCCCUUAAAAUAGAUCCUAAUAAUUGUGAGUCCCAACAAAAACUAAAGGAGGUGAUAUCCUUAUUGGGUUUGGGUUGGUUUCCGAAUUUUGUUGAUGAGGCACUAGCAGUAACAAGUAAAGAUGAGAAGUUUAGAGAUUAUGUUCGUUGUGGGAAGGAAGAUAAUGGUAGGAAGUAAUUAAAAAAAGGGAAAAGAAAGGAAGGAGAUGGUCGUGAUGAUGGUCAUGUUCGUAGGUGUUCAAGUGUGAAAAACGACACCAAAAAGGAAAAAGACGUUGAUGGCAAUUCUUUGGAUUUGGAGAGUAAAGUCAAGCCUACCAACCAAGAUCUGAGGCCUAAUGUUAUUGAUAACAAUUGUGUUUUGAAGGGCACUUCAAAAACAAAAAACCCAAAUCCAACAGGGUCAAGUUUUCGGUUCUCAAGCCGGAAGCAAAAUGAUUCCUAUUUGAAUCUCACUCCAACAAUGUAUGGAGCGAUUUCCAAAGGGAAAACAAUCCAAUGCUUCUGUUCUCGCCAAAAGAAUUUCAUUACCAUCCGAGUAGCCAAUCGUUUAAAUAAGAUGGAUAGUGGUGAAAUUCAAGAAGUUUCUCCACCAAUGGAGUUUAGUCACCCCCCUUGUGGAAGGGCACGAUAGUUGUGAAGCAACUCCAGACUUGAUGCAAGAAGAUCCAUCCAUAUGUAUGGCAGGUCACGAGUCAUCAUGUGAAGCUGCGUCAAUACUCCUACCAUUUUUGCCUUUUUCUUACCCUCUGCAGACUCACGUUCACCUAAGAACUUCCUCCACUGCAUUAUUGUUGGGUUAAGCGGAAGAACAACAUUAUGUCCCACCGAGUACACUUGUUUUCCUAAACGUAAGAAGUUAUUGCUCCAACCCCCAAUGUUUUAUAGUGUAAUUUUGCUUUCUUUACUUAGUUUAGGUUGUAAUCAUGCUUUUCAUUAAUAGUACUCUUUGU